This 583-nucleotide ribosomal RNA is filed under the name Botryosphaeria dothidea. RNAcentral's name for it is "eukaryotic LSU rRNA". The stretch from base 210 to 363 matches the Rfam family "5.8S ribosomal RNA". Lineage: Eukaryota; Fungi; Ascomycota; Dothideomycetes; Botryosphaeriales; Botryosphaeriaceae. The record is from RNAcentral.
UCCGUAGGUGAACCUGCGGAAGGAUCAUUACCGAGUUGAUUCGGGCUCCGGCCCGAUCCUCCCACCCUUUGUGUACCUACCUCUGUUGCUUUGGCGGGCCGCGGUUCUCCGCGGCCGCCCCCCUCCCCGGGGGGUGGCCAGCGCCCGCCAGAGGACCAUCAAACUCCAGUCAGUAAACGAUGCAGUCUGAAAAACAUUUAAUAAACUAAAACUUUCAACAACGGAUCUCUUGGUUCUGGCAUCGAUGAAGAACGCAGCGAAAUGCGAUAAGUAAUGUGAAUUGCAGAAUUCAGUGAAUCAUCGAAUCUUUGAACGCACAUUGCGCCCUUUGGUAUUCCGAAGGGCAUGCCUGUUCGAGCGUCAUUACAACCCUCAAGCUCUGCUUGGUAUUGGGCACCGUCCUUUGCGGGCGCGCCUCAAAGACCUCGGCGGUGGCGUCUUGCCUCAAGCGUAGUAGAACAUACAUCUCGCUUCGGAGCGCAGGGCGUCGCCCGCCGGACGAACCUUCUGAACUUUUCUCAAGGUUGACCUCGGAUCAGGUAGGGAUACCCGCUGAACUUAAGCAUAUCAAUAAGCGGAGGGA